RNAcentral lists this ribosomal RNA (546 nucleotides) under Chaetomium sp. E59. RNAcentral's name for it is "eukaryotic LSU rRNA". The stretch from base 198 to 351 matches the Rfam family "5.8S ribosomal RNA". Lineage: Eukaryota; Fungi; Ascomycota; Sordariomycetes; Sordariales; Chaetomiaceae. The record is from RNAcentral.
GUGAACCAGCGGAGGGACAUUACAGAGUUGCAAAACUCCCUAAACCAUUGUGAACGUUACCUAUACCGUUGCUUCGGCGGGCGGCCCCGGGGUUUACCCCCCGGGCGCCCCUGGGCCCCACCGCGGGCGCCCGCCGGAGGUCACCAAACUCUUGAUAAUUUAUGGCCUCUCUGAGUCUUCUGUACUGAAUAAGUCAAAACUUUCAACAACGGAUCUCUUGGUUCUGGCAUCGAUGAAGAACGCAGCGAAAUGCGAUAAGUAAUGUGAAUUGCAGAAUUCAGUGAAUCAUCGAAUCUUUGAACGCACAUUGCGCCCGCCAGCAUUCUGGCGGGCAUGCCUGUUCGAGCGUCAUUUCAACCAUCAAGCCCCGGGCUUGUGUUGGGGACCUGCGGCUGCCGCAGGCCCUGAAAAGCAGUGGCGGGCUCGCUGUCGCACCGAGCGUAGUAGCAUACAUCUCGCUCUGGUCGCGCCGCGGGUUCCGGCCGUUAAACCACCUUUUAACCCAAGGUUGACCUCGGAUCAGGUAGGAAGACCCGCUGAACUUAA